This 434-nucleotide long non-coding RNA is filed under the name Vigna radiata. RNAcentral's name for it is "long non-coding RNA (VRAD_LNC010519)". Lineage: Eukaryota; Viridiplantae; Streptophyta; Magnoliopsida; Fabales; Fabaceae. The record is from RNAcentral.
UCUUUUAUUGAUUCCCAAUUUUUUGUCAAUGAACCCUAAUUCGAAGAAACAACUCUGAUUUUCUUUUCACAAUCUCUAAUUCAAAGAAAGUUAUGAGUUUACUUAACAUUUUCAACAUUUUCUUUGAUUAUCCAUUUUUGCCACUGAUUUUUAAUUCAAAGUAGCAAAGACUCACUUUUUUUUUUUCUAACAAACCCUAAGUUGAAGCACUCUCAGUAUUUCUCCCAGUUUCUUAAUUAAAAAUUACAAAUUACACAUCACAUUGUGCCACAUCAUUAAAAAGAACACAAUUAGCAUAUCAUGUACACAUCAAACAUCGUUUGUCUAAUUUAAUAGUAGGACUCUAUUUGUUUCAAUUUUUCAAAAUAAAAAACCCAAUUAAAAAAACAAUAAGAGUACUACUUGAGAGUCUAGCCUAAAAAUAUGACCUACCA